This 490-nucleotide ribosomal RNA is filed under the name Cryptosporidium ubiquitum. Its description in RNAcentral is "SSU rRNA". It matches the Rfam family "Eukaryotic small subunit ribosomal RNA", at positions 556 to 1081 of the family's 1831-position model. Lineage: Eukaryota; Apicomplexa; Conoidasida; Eucoccidiorida; Cryptosporidiidae. The record is from RNAcentral.
CAAGUCUGGUGCCAGCAGCCGCGGUAAUUCCAGCUCCAAUAGCGUAUAUUAAAGUUGUUGCAGUUAAAAAGCUCGUAGUUGGAUUUCUGUUAAUAAUUUAUAUAUAAUAUUUUAAUGGUAUUUAUAUAAUAUUAACAUAAUUCAUAUUACUAUUAUUAGUAUAUGAAAUUUUACUUUGAGAAAAUUAGAGUGCUUAAAGCAGGCAUUAGCCUUGAAUACUCCAGCAUGGAAUAAUAUAAAAGAUUUUUAUCUUUUUUAUUGGUUCUAAGAUAAAAAUAAUGAUUAAUAGGGACAGUUGGGGGCAUUUGUAUUUAACAGUCAGAGGUGAAAUUCUUAGAUUUGUUAAAGACAAACUAGUGCGAAAGCAUUUGCCAAGGAUGUUUUCAUUAAUCAAGAACGAAAGUUAGGGGAUCGAAGACGAUCAGAUACCGUCGUAGUCUUAACCAUAAACUAUGCCAACUAGAGAUUGGAGGUUGUUCCUUACUCCUUC